AAGAAAGACGCGCGAGUCUCGGCGGCCCGGAACCGGUCUUGGAGCAGCUGUGGAGCCUGAGGCCGCUUGCCCUCCCGCCCCAUGGAGCGGCCUCCGGGGCUGCGGCCGGGUGCGGGCGGGCCCUGGGAGAUGCGGGAGCGGCUAGGCACCGGCGGCUUCGGGAACGUGUGCUUGUACCAGCAUCGGGAACUUGACCUUAAAAUAGCAAUUAAGUCUUGUCGCCUAGAGCUAAGUUCCAAAAACAGAGAACGGUGGUGCCAUGAAAUCCAGAUCAUGAAAAAGUUGAAUCAUGCCAAUGUUGUAAAGGCCUGUGAUGUUCCUGAGGAAUUGAAUUUUUUGAUUAAUGAUGUGCCUCUUCUAGCAAUGGAGUACUGUUCUGGAGGAGAUCUUCGGAAGCUACUCAACAAACCAGAAAAUUGUUGUGGACUUAAAGAAAGCCAGAUACUUUCUUUAUUAAGUGAUAUAGGGUCUGGGAUUCGAUAUUUGCAUGAAAACAAAAUUAUACAUCGAGAUCUAAAACCUGAAAACAUAGUUCUUCAGGAUGUUGGUGGAAAGAUAAUGCAUAAAAUAAUUGAUCUGGGAUAUGCCAAAGAUGUUGAUCAAGGAAGUCUAUGUACAUCUUUUGUGGGAACACUGCAGUAUUUGGCCCCAGAGCUUUUUGAGAAUAAGCCCUACACAGCAACUGUUGAUUACUGGAGCUUUGGGACCAUGGUCUUUGAAUGUAUUGCUGGAUAUAGGCCUUUUCUACAUCAUCUGCAGCCGUUUACCUGGCAUGAGAAGAUUAAGAAGAAGGAUCCAAAGUGUAUAUUUGCAUGUGAAGAGAUGACAGGAGAAGUUCGGUUUAGUAGCCAUUUGCCUCAACCAAAUAGCCUUUGUAGUUUAAUAGUAGAACCUAUGGAAAACUGGCUACAGUUGAUGCUGAAUUGGGACCCUCAGCAGAGAGGGGGACCUGUUGACCUUACUUUGAAGCAGCCAAAAUGUUUCAUCUUAAUGGAUCACAUUCUGAAUUUGAAGAUAGGGCACAUCCUAAACAUGACUUCUGCAAAGAUAAUUUCUUUUCUGUUACCACCUGAUGAAAGUCUUCAUUCACUACAGUCUCGUAUUGAGCGUGAAACUGGAAUAAAUACUGGUUCUCAAGAGCUUCUUUCAGAGACAGGAAUUUCUCUGGAUCCUCGAAAACCAGCCUCUCAGUGUGUUCUAGAUGGAGUUAGAGGCUGUGAUAGCUAUAUGGUUUAUUUGUUUGAUAAAAGUAAAACUGUAUAUGAAGGGCCAUUUGCUUCCAGAAGUUUAUCUGAUUGUGUAAAUUAUAUUGUACAGGACAGCAAAAUACAACUUCCAGUUAUACAGCUACGUAAAGUAUGGGCUGAAGCAGUGCACUAUGUGUCUGGGCUGAAGGAAGAUUACAGCAGGCUCUUUCAGGGACAAAGAGCAGCAAUGUUAAGCCUUCUUAGAUAUAAUGCUAACUUGACAAAAAUGAAGAACACUUUGAUCUCGGCAUCACAGCAACUGAAAGCUAAAUUGGAAUUUUUUCACAAAAGCAUUCAGCUUGACUUGGAGAGAUACAGCGAACAAAUGACAUAUGGGAUAUCUUCAGAAAAAAUGCUAAAGGCAUGGAAAGAAAUGGAAGAAAAGGCCAUCCACUAUGCUGAGAUCGGUGUCAUUGGGUACCUGGAGGAUCAGAUUAUGUCCUUGCACACUGAAAUCAUGGAGCUACAGAAGAGCCCCUACGGAAGACGUCAGGGAGACUUGAUGGAAUCUCUGGAACAGCGUGCCAUUGAUCUUUAUAAGCAGUUAAAGCACAGACCUGCAGAUCAUUCCUACAGCGACAGCACAGAGAUGGUGAAGAUCAUUGUGCAUACUGUGCAGAGUCAGGACCGAGUUCUUAAGGAGCUGUUUGGCCAUCUAAGCAAGUUGUUGGGCUGUAAGCAGAAGAUUAUUGAUCUACUCCCCAAGGUGGAAGUGGCCCUCAGUGACAUCAAAGAAGCUGACAAUACUGUCAUGUUUAUGCAAGGAAAGAGGCAGAAAGAAAUAUGGCAUCUCCUUAAAAUUGCCUGUACACAGAGUUCUGCCCGGUCUCUUGUAGGAUCCAGUUUAGAGGGCACAGUAACCCCUCAGGCAUCAGCAUGGCUGCCCCCAACUUCAGCACAACGUGAACAUCCUCUGUCAUGCGUGGUAACUCCUCAAGAUGGCAUAAGAUGUACCGUAUCCAGGGCCAGUGGCUCUUUGCUAGCUCGUGCAUUGUCGCUUUUCUCACAACUCAUGGAGACCUCUACGGCACCAGCACUUCCUGGAAGUUCUGUCCAUAAUUAGCUUUGCAGAAGUGCAGCCAUGUUACAUCACUGCUCAGGAGGCCAUGCAGUUGAACAUUCUGUACGCUUUUAUGAGAGAAAAGCACAUGGCAGGAAGGCAAGCUGAUAUCAGGGACACUUUUGCACAAAUGAUAGAAGAAAAUUUGAAUUGUCUUGGCCAUUUAAGCACUAUUAUCCGUGAAGCAAAUGAGGAACAGGGCAAUAGUAUGAUGAAUCUAGAUUGGAGUUGGUUAACAGGAUGAUUUGCUACUUGUUCACUGUCCGCAAGCCUGUGGAAGUUGUUGCUGCACGUGUUGGAAAUUUGUUUUUUCUCCAUGAAAACCCAUCUUGAAACACGUCAACUGAGAAAUGGCCAUGAUCAUAAACUAUGCACAAUUUUAUAAGCACAAUAUUUUGAUUUUGAGGAAUUUUGAGCUCUGAACAAAUAGGAUUUUAUAAAAAGUCAGUAGACUUGUUUAAAUAUUUAAUACUACAGCUUCUUAGGAUCAUCUUUAUGACCCAUUCAUCUUCAAACUUGAUAAACAUUAUGUAUUUAACUGACUAAAAAUACCUUUUAAAGUUUUCACUUUUGACAUAAAGCCAAACUUAGAGAAGAAAACCUCGUCUAACAUAUUUUAAGUUGUCUACCUGUGUUUCUGUGGAAGAGACUGCUCACAAGUAAAAUUGUACUUCCUGAAGAAUAAACCCUACCUCCUUGUGUUGUACUCAAAAAGUAUACUUCGUGGCAUCAUAAGGAGUUGGCUUAAUCCCAUUUUUAAUUUUUGCCACACACUUAAUUUUCUUCAUUCAGAAGGGAUUGUGCAUCUUUGCCUUUAAUACCAGUUGACUCUCAUAAAUCAUGUUGUAUGCUAUGUGUAUAUGUAUUUAAGAUGUACAUUUAAUAUCAGAGAGAAGAUACCUGUUAAUUUAUAAUGUGUUUGAAAGCUCAUAGGUUCUUUCAUUUGUAAAAAUGGAUCAUUUGUUUAAACAUUCUUUUGUUUUAUCAUGUAUGUUUAUAAAGGUCUGUACUUCCUUGUUUGUAAUUACAAUUCCAAAAUCCAAAAAUUUUUGAAAACAAGGUUCUCAUAAGUCUGGCUGCAGAACUCAUUUGGCAAAUAUAAUCUGAACUGACAUUGACUCUACUUAUCCCAUUUAGUGUGAAUAUUGAUUUUUUUGCUGCAGAAAUAGUAAUGUGUCUGAUCACUGCAGGGGGCGAGUUGGGGUGCUGCCAGACUCUGCUGAGGGUUAAUGUAGUAUGGUACAUGCACUGAAUUACCUUCAUAAAAUCUGAACAUUUCAUAUUACUGAAACAUCUGGCUCCAAGGGUUUCAGGUAAAGGACUGUGGAUCUCUAUCAUCUACUAAAUAAUUUAGAAGGUAUUUUUUUAAAUGUGAAAUGCUUUUAUAUUAUAGUUUUUCACUUUGUAUAUUAAAUGAUUUUAAAAUUA
Molecule: non-coding RNA, 3735 nt
Organism: Oryctolagus cuniculus (rabbit)
Lineage: Eukaryota; Metazoa; Chordata; Mammalia; Lagomorpha; Leporidae
Source: RefSeq, a predicted model, not a curated record